RNAcentral lists this transfer RNA (71 nucleotides) under bacterium. RNAcentral's name for it is "tRNA-Gly". It matches the Rfam family "tRNA". From Rfam's summary of the family: Transfer RNA (tRNA) molecules are approximately 80 nucleotides in length. The record is from RNAcentral.
GCGGGAUUGGUUUAGUGGCAGAAUGGUUGCUUCCCAAGCAACAGACGCGAGUUCGAUUCUCGCAUCCCGCA